GACGAACGCUGGCGGCGUGCCUAACACAUGCAAGUCGAACGGAGAUGCCGAGGUAGCUUGCUACAUUGGUAUCUUAGCGGCGGACGGGUGAGUAACGCGUGAGCAACCUGCCUUUCACAAAGGGAUAGCCUCGGGAAACUGGGAUUAAUACCAUAUAAAACUUGUCUUUCGCAUGAAAGAAAAGUCAAAGCGAAUAAGCGGUGAAAGAUGGGCUCGCGUCCUAUUAGCUAGUUGGUGAGGUAACGGCUCACCAAGGCGACGAUAGGUAGCCGGCCUGAGAGGGUGAACGGCCACACUGGAACUGAGACACGGUCCAGACUCCUACGGGAGGCAGCAGUGGGGGAUAUUGCACAAUGGAGGAAACUCUGAUGCAGCGACGCCGCGUGAGUGAAGAAGGCCUUCGGGUCGUAAAGACUCUGUCCUAGGGGAAGAGUAAUGACGGUACCCUAGGAGGAAGCCCCGGCUAACUACGUG
This 474-nucleotide ribosomal RNA is filed under the name uncultured bacterium. RNAcentral's name for it is "bacterial SSU rRNA". It matches the Rfam family "Bacterial small subunit ribosomal RNA", at positions 28 to 507 of the family's 1533-position model. The record is from RNAcentral.